AGAGUUUGAUCCUGGCUCAGGACGAACGCUGGCGGCGUGCCUAAUACAUGCAAGUAGAACGCUGAAGACUGGUGCUUGCACUAGUCAGAUGAGUUGCGAACGGGUGAGUAACGCGUAGGUAACCUACCUCAUAGCGGGGGAUAACUAUUGGAAACGAUAGCUAAUACCGCAUGACAAUUAAGUACUCAUGUACUAAAUUUAAAAGGAGCAAUUGCUUCACUAUGAGAUGGACCUGCGUUGUAUUAGCUAGUUGGUGAGGUAACGGCUCACCAAGGCCACGAUACAUAGCCGACCUGAGAGGGUGAUCGGCCACACUGGGACUGAGACACGGCCCAGACUCCUACGGGAGGCAGCAGUAGGGAAUCUUCGGCAAUGGGGGCAACCCUGACCGAGCAACGCCGCGUGAGUGAAGAAGGUUUUCGGAUCGUAAAGCUCUGUUGUUAGAGAAGAACGGUAAUGGGAGUGGAAAAUCCAUUACGUGACGGUAACUAACCAGAAAGGGACGGCUAACUACGUGCCAGCAGCCGCGGUAAUACGUAGGUCUCGAGCGUUGUCCGGAUUUAUUGGGCGUAAAGCGAGCGCAGGCGGUUAUUUAAGUCUGAAGUUAAAGGCCGUGGCUCAACCAUGGUUCGCUUUGGAAACUGGAUAACUUGAGUGCAGAAGGGGAGAGUGGAAUUCCAUGUGUAGCGGUGAAAUGCGUAGAUAUAUGGAGGAACACCGGUGGCGAAAGCGGCUCUCUGGUCUGUAACUGACGCUGAGGCUCGAAAGCGUGGGGAGCAAACAGGAUUAGAUACCCUGGUAGUCCACGCCGUAAACGAUGAGUGCUAGGUGUUAGGCCCUUUCCGGGGCUUAGUGCCGCAGCU
RNAcentral lists this ribosomal RNA (863 nucleotides) under uncultured bacterium. RNAcentral's name for it is "bacterial SSU rRNA". It matches the Rfam family "Bacterial small subunit ribosomal RNA", at positions 8 to 853 of the family's 1533-position model. The record is from RNAcentral.